CCUACGGGAGGCAGCAGUGGGGAAUAUUGGGCAAUGGGCGAAAGCCUGACCCAGCGACGCCGCGUGAACGAAGAAGUAUUUCGGUAUGUAAAGUUCUAUCAGCAGGGAAGAAAAUGACGGCACCUGACUAAGAAGCACCGGCUAAAUACGUGCCAGCAGCCGCGGUAAU
Molecule: ribosomal RNA, 169 nt
Filed under: uncultured bacterium
Lineage: Bacteria
Description: partial 16S ribosomal RNA
Rfam family: Bacterial small subunit ribosomal RNA
Source: RNAcentral